RNA transcript from Cannabis sativa, 3194 nucleotides. It is a transcript of the gene named bidirectional sugar transporter SWEET16, with no coding region annotated. The transcript has 5 exons. The record is from RefSeq and is a predicted model, not a curated record. NCBI's taxonomy places the organism in Eukaryota, Viridiplantae, Streptophyta, Magnoliopsida, Rosales, Cannabaceae.
UGAAGUAUGGUGGAAAAGAGAUAAAUGGAAAAACUAGAAUAACAUAAAAAAACAAACCUAAGGGUUCAAUUGUAAUUUCAUAGAAUAAAGAGGACAGUUUUGUUCUGAGCUGGAGAAGAGAAAAAGAAGAAGAACAGGAACGGAACAGAGUUCCAUAGCUUCAAAGUCUUACAUGCCAAAAUGAUCGAAAUGCGGAGAUUUUGUGGGAAUUUUCCAGAUGAGCUUUUGGAGGAAAUUAUGUCGUGGUUGCCUCCUGAUUCUCUCAGACGAUUCAAGUGCGUUUGUAAAUCAUGGCGUGUUCUGAUCACUUCUCUUAUCAGAAACCCUGAAUUUGUGGCCAAACACCUUGCUAAUAUGAAGAACAAGAAGUUGUGUUCUCCGUUCAUACACCUGAGGAAUGUGAUAACCACUAAUUACACUGAAAGGCAAGAAGGAACUUAUUUCCUUACAUUGGCCAAUGAUGAUGUCGAAGAUGAUUACACCGAUGAUCUGGACGAUAAUUUGUACAUUCCUUGUGUUACUGAAAAUCUCAAGUUUCUUACCUGUGAUCUGCACAAUAUUUUUGUUAAACUUGUUGCUCAUUGUAAUGGCAUCAUAUGUCUCUCUGCAUUCGAUAAAAAUGAUAUCUUUAUUUUAUUGAAUCCUGCCAUGAAGGAAUUCAAGAUUGUUGCUAAUGCUUCCCCUGGUGAUGGCUCAGGAGAGCGAGUAGUGGGAUUCGGCUAUGAUUCAAACACAAAUGAGUACAAGCUUGUCAACAUUAAGUCGUUGUAUGAAGAUGAAGAUGGUCCAUAUAAAGCUGAGAAAAUGUCUCAGAGACAGAAAAAGAAUGGGAUAUACUUGCUGAAUGGACAAAGAUUGCGGUUUGGAAAGAUCGUCUUGUUCUGUUUUUCUAUCCUGAGUUGGAUCCGAUGGUUAUUGAUAUGUGGGUUAUGGAUGCUUCUUCUGGUGGUAUUUGUGAUUCCUAUUCCUGGUCUAAGCAUCUUACUAUUGGGCCUCUUGAAAACAUUAGUUACCCACUUGCAUUUUGGGAUGCGGAUGAGCUCUUCAUGGAGACUAAAGAUGGUGAAAUCAUCUUCUACAACCUUGGCAGCCAAGAACUCAACGAUCAUACUGUCUCUUUGGAACCUUUUCACCGGAAUCGUCUUGUUACUUAUGCAAAGAGUUUGGUUUCUGUAGUCCAAAGAGAGGAGAGGUAACUAAAAAAGCGUACGGAACAGUAAUACUUUCAUUUAUUUUUUUAAUAAUAUUUAUGUUACUUUCCCCUUUCAUGCUCUAUUGUAUUGUGUUACACUGUUACUAAUAUCUGUUAAUAUUAUAGGCUGCCGUGCACCUUAAUUUUGUGUUUAUAUGUACUUUACUUUAGAGGGGUUAAUGUGUUUCUCUUAGGUAUGUUGUAUUGAAAGGCAAUACAAGUAGUUUAGCUUUGAGCAUUCUUAACAAAAGAACUUCGAUAUUGCCUUUCGCACACCACUCUCCUAUUAUAGAACACAAAUAUGCUAUCUAAACGUUUCAGAUUAUUCCAUGUUUUAAAUGCAUUAUAUUCUAAACAAAUCAGAAUUACACAUACAUACAUCGACGAUGAGCUCAUCUUCUAUAACAUUCGCAUCCAACUAGCCGAUGGUCAUAUCAUCUCCUUGGAACCGUCCCAUGGGGAUCAUCUUGUUACUCAUGCAAAGAGUUUGGUUUUUGCACUCAAAAGAGAAGAGACAUAACUAGCUAAGAGCAUUGAACAUUUAUUAGUUAAUUCAUUUUUCAUUUUAAUAUCAGACUAUACGUAUCUCAUUUCAAGGGUUAGUAUAUUAUAGCUUGUCCUUUUGUAUAAAUUAUCUACUUUAGACGAGUUAUUGGUUUCUCUUUGGCAUAUCACUGUGUUAUUCUUACAUAAUAUUAUUAGCCCUCAUCAAUCAGUAAGGAAAGUAGCUUGCAGUGAAGGUUCUCAGUAUUCUGUUUUGUGGAGAAUAAAUUAACAGUUACAAGAUAGAGGCAAUAACUUUACAGUAAAAAUCAAAGAAUAAAUAGGAUUUUUAGUUCUGAACUAUGAUACUUGUAGAGUUUUGCACUUGAAUUAUUUUUUUCGUAAAAAGAGUCUCUCGAAUUAAGAAAAUAAUUGUAAUUAUUUUCCUUUAGUUGUAUUUUGUUCAUUUUUUGAGAUAAUUUAUUGAUGUGGCUAUGAGUCACGCACUAGAAUGGUCUUAUUAACUCAAAAUUUAUAGAGUCUCAAAUUUUUUUGCUAUAGUAUUAUUUAUGAAAUUAUUUUUUGUUUGGGCUCUUAAAUUAUAGUAGUUUUCCUUGUAUUAGUCUUGCAUUAGGAGACUGUAACAAAAUGUAACUGCAGAGGAAAUUAUUUCUAUAGUUUAAGGGAAAUUUCUUACAAAGAAAAAAAAUAAUAAUUGAGGGGCAAAAUCUUGUCACAAUCUGGAGUAAAAAUCAUAUCUAUUCAAAAUUAAAAGUUGUUUUUAUAUGAAUAUAUAAUAUUUUAAUAUAAAUUAAAUUUUAAUAUAAUAUUAUAUAAAAAUAUAGUAUACAAUCCAAUUUAAUAUAAUAAUAUAUUGUAUAAUAUUAUCUAAUAUAGCAUACUCAAUAAAUACAAUUCAGAUGAAGGCAUGAUAAGGACCAUAUUGACUUGACUUAAACUAUUUAACUAAUGUAUUUGUUUUUUUCCCUUUCUUUUUUAGCUAAACAUUUGUCCAAGUCAUAUGUAUGGAUGAUGGAUCUGUUGAUAUUUACUCAUCCCUGUCAUACUUUUGUCCUGUUAGGUGACUGAAAAGCUGAGAGAUAGAUACUUUAUAUGAAUCACAUAUAUAUUGGUCACUGAAAGUAAAGUGAUGAGUGACCCAUUGAAGAUGAUCACUCCACAAGAAUAGAAAAUUAUUGCUAUACUUACAGAUCGGCCAAAGUUGAAUCUAGGAAAAUCCCACCUUCAAAGUCCUAACUCUUAUUCAAAACAAAGGAUUGAGCAUGGCGAGUGCGAUAAUUAUCUUUUUUGGUCUCCUAGGUAAUAUUUCAACAGGGCUACUCUAUGUUUCCCCUACAUCAGGACUGCUAUUCUUGUGGUUGUUUUGGAUGUGGUAUUUCCAGCAGCAGCAAUUUUGCUUACCCAAUUUACUCUCCACGGCGAUACUCGAAUUGAUGUUGCAGGGUUAUUGUGUAUGAUCUUCAGUAUGAUUGCAUAUGCUUCUCCUCUUUCUGCUAUG